CCAGUGUGUUUCGACACACUAUCAUUAACUGAAUCCAUAGGUUAAUGAGGCGAACCGGGGGAACUGAAACAUCUAAGUACCCCGAGGAAAAGAAAUCAACCGAGAUUCCCCCAGUAGCGGCGAGCGAACGGGGAGGAGCCCAGAGCCUGAAUCAGUGUGUGUGUUAGUGGAAGCGUCUGGAAAGGCGCGCGAUACAGGGUGACAGCCCCGUACACAAAAAUGCACAUACUGUGAGCUCGAUGAGUAGGGCGGGACACGUGGUAUCCUGUCUGAAUAUGGGGGGACCAUCCUCCAAGGCUAAAUACUCCUGACUGACCGAUAGUGAACCAGUACCGUGAGGGAAAGGCGAAAAGAACCCCGGCGAGGGGAGUGAAAAAGAACCUGAAACCGUGUACGUACAAGCAGUGGGAGCCUCUUAAUGGGGUGACUGCGUACCUUUUGUAUAAUGGGUCAGCGACUUAUAUUCUGUAGCAAGGUUAACCGAAUAGGGGAGCCGAAGGGAAACCGAGUCUUAACUGGGCGUUAAGUUGCAGGGUAUAGACCCGAAACCCGGUGAUCUAGCCAUGGGCAGGUUGAAGGUUGGGUAACACUAACUGGAGGACCGAACCGACUAAUGUUGAAAAAUUAGCGGAUGACUUGUGGCUGGGGGUGAAAGGCCAAUCAAACCGGGAGAUAGCUGGUUCUCCCCGAAAGCUAUUUAGGUAGCGCCUCGUGAAUUCAUCUCCGGGGGUAGAGCACUGUUUCGGCAAGGGGGUCAUCCCGACUUACCAACCCGAUGCAAACUGCGAAUACCGGAGAAUGUUAUCACGGGAGACACACGGCGGGUGCUAACGUCCGUCGUGAAGAGGGAAACAACCCAGACCGCCAGCUAAGGUCCCAAAGUCAUGGUUAAGUGGGAAACGAUGUGGGAAGGCCCAGACAGCCAGGAUGUUGGCUUAGAAGCAGCCAUCAUUUAAAGAAAGCGUAAUAGCUCACUGGUCGAGUCGGCCUGCGCGGAAGAUGUAACGGGGCUAAACCAUGCACCGAAGCUGCGGCAGCGACACUAUGUGUUGUUGGGUAGGGGAGCGUUCUGUAAGCCUGUGAAGGUGUACUGUGAGGUAUGCUGGAGGUAUCAGAAGUGCGAAUGCUGACAUAAGUAACGAUAAAGCGGGUGAAAAGCCCGCUCGCCGGAAGACCAAGGGUUCCUGUCCAACGUUAAUCGGGGCAGGGUGAGUCGACCCCUAAGGCGAGGCCGAAAGGCGUAGUCGAUGGGAAACAGGUUAAUAUUCCUGUACUUGGUGUUACUGCGAAGGGGGGACGGAGAAGGCUAUGUUGGCCGGGCGACGGUUGUCCCGGUUUAAGCGUGUAGGCUGGUUUUCCAGGCAAAUCCGGAAAAUCAAGGCUGAGGCGUGAUGACGAGGCACUACGGUGCUGAAGCGACAAAUGCCCUGCUUCCAGGAAAAGCCUCUAAGCAUCAGGUAACAUCAAAUCGUACCCCAAACCGACACAGGUGGUCAGGUAGAGAAUACCAAGGCGCUUGAGAGAACUCGGGUGAAGGAACUAGGCAAAAUGGUGCCGUAACUUCGGGAGAAGGCACGCUGAUAUGUAGGUGAAGCGACUUGCUCGUGGAGCUGAAAUCAGUCGAAGAUACCAGCUGGCUGCAACUGUUUAUUAAAAACACAGCACUGUGCAAACACGAAAGUGGACGUAUACGGUGUGACGCCUGCCCGGUGCCGGAAGGUUAAUUGAUGGGGUUAGCGGUAACGCGAAGCUCUUGAUCGAAGCCCCGGUAAACGGCGGCCGUAACUAUAACGGUCCUAAGGUAGCGAAAUUCCUUGUCGGGUAAGUUCCGACCUGCACGAAUGGCGUAAUGAUGGCCAGGCUGUCUCCACCCGAGACUCAGUGAAAUUGAACUCGCUGUGAAGAUGCAGUGUACCCGCGGCAAGACGGAAAGACCCCGUGAACCUUUACUAUAGCUUGACACUGAACAUUGAGCCUUGAUGUGUAGGAUAGGUGGGAGGCUUUGAAGUGUGGACGCCAGUCUGCAUGGAGCCGACCUUGAAAUACCACCCUUUAAUGUUUGAUGUUCUAACGUGGGCCCCUUACCGGGGUUGCGGACAGUGUCUGGUGGGUAGUUUGACUGGGGCGGUCUCCUCCUAAAGAGUAACGGAGGAGCACGAAGGUUGGCUAAUCCUGGUCGGACAUCAGGAGGUUAGUGCAAUGGCAUAAGCCAGCUUGACUGCGAGCGUGACGGCGCGAGCAGGUGCGAAAGCAGGUCAUAGUGAUCCGGUGGUUCUGAAUGGAAGGGCCAUCGCUCAACGGAUAAAAGGUACUCCGGGGAUAACAGGCUGAUACCGCCCAAGAGUUCAUAUCGACGGCGGUGUUUGGCACCUCGAUGUCGGCUCAUCACAUCCUGGGGCUGAAGUAGGUCCCAAGGGUAUGGCUGUUCGCCAUUUAAAGUGGUACGCGAGCUGGGUUUAGAACGUCGUGAGACAGUUCGGUCCCUAUCUGCCGUGGGCGCUGGAGAACUGAGGGGGGCUGCUCCUAGUACGAGAGGACCGGAGUGGACGCAUCACUGGUGUUCGGGUUGUCAUGCCAAUGGCACUGCCCGGUAGCUAAAUGCGGAAGAGAUAAGUGCUGAAAGCAUCUAAGCACGAAACUUGCCCCGAGAUGAGUUCUCCCUGACUCCUUGAGAGUCCUGAAGGAACGUUGAAGACGACGACGUUGAUAGGCCGGGUGUGUAAGCGCAGCGAUGCGUUGAGCUAACCGGUACUAAUGAACCGUGAGGCUUAACCUUACAACGCCGAAG
Molecule: ribosomal RNA, 2788 nt
Filed under: Escherichia coli
Lineage: Bacteria; Pseudomonadati; Pseudomonadota; Gammaproteobacteria; Enterobacterales; Enterobacteriaceae
Description: partial 23S ribosomal RNA
Rfam family: Bacterial large subunit ribosomal RNA
Source: RNAcentral